Molecule: ribosomal RNA, 774 nt
Filed under: uncultured Neocallimastigales
Lineage: Eukaryota; Fungi; Neocallimastigomycota; Neocallimastigomycetes; Neocallimastigales
Description: partial large subunit ribosomal RNA
Rfam family: Eukaryotic large subunit ribosomal RNA
Source: RNAcentral
CAUAGCGACUAUCGUGGCAUAUCAAUAAGCGGAGGAAAAGAAACUAACAAGGAUUCCCCUAGUAACGGCGAGUGAAGCGGGAAGAGCUCAAAUUUGAAAUCUUAAAGGGUUUCCCUUUACGAAUUGUAGUUUAAAGAAGUGUUUUCUGUUGGAGUUUCGGUAAAAGUUCUUUGGAAUAGGACACCAUAGAGGGUGAGAAUCCCGUAUUUGACCGUUACUUUCCAGCUGUGUGAUACACUUUCGAAGAGUCGGAUUGUUUGGGAAUGCAGUCCAAAAUGGGUGGUAAAUUUCAUCUAAAGCUAAAUAUUGGCGAGAGACCGAUAGCGAACAAGUACCGUGAGGGAAAGAUGAAAAGAACUUUGAAAAGAGAGUUAAACAGUACGUGAAAUUGUCAAAAGGGAAGCGUUUGACACCAGUGUUGUUUAGUUGAAAAUCAAUUCAAUAAUUUUUGAUUUUGAGUAGUAUUGACUUCAUCAGCUUGCUGCUUUCUUUUCGGAAAUUAUUGAAUGCACUUUUCAGUUAACAAGUCAACAUCAAUUUCUUUGUUGUAAAAGGGUAAGAGGAAGGUGGCUUACGCUUCGGCGUAAGUGUUUAUAGCCUUUUACCUCUGCAAUCGGAGAGAUUGAGGACAGCAGCGUAGACUCUUCGGGGUUAGAUACACUUGUGCUAAGCUAUAGCCUUGUAUAGACAACUUGUUGACUAUGCUCAGUCAUGUAGCUUACUCGCUUGUGCUAUUUUACCUACGCUUAGGAUGUUGAUAGUCACAGCGUGUAC